GACGAACGCUGGCGGCGUGCUUAACACAUGCAAGUCGAACGGAAAGGCCCUGCUCUUGUGGCGUGCUCGAGUGGCGAACGGGUGAGUAACACGCGAGUAACCUGCCCUUGACUUUGGGAUAACUUCAGGAAACUGGGGAUAAUACCGGAUAGGAGCUCCUGAUGCAUGGUGGGGGUUGGAAAGAUUCGGCGGUUUGGGAUGGACUCGAGGCUUAUCAGCUUGUUGGUGGAGUAGUGGAUUACCAAGGCUUAGACGGAUAGGCGGCCUGGGAGCGUGACCGGCGACAAUGGUACUGAGAGACGCCGCAGUCUGCAACGUGCGGCAGCGGUGGGGAAUAUUGCGCAACGGCCCGGAGCCUGUUGCGGCAACGCUGGGUUCGUGAUGCCGGCUUACGGGUUGUAAACCGCUUUGGCCUGAAACAUAGCGUGAGUGACGGUAAUGGGUAAAGAAGCACCGGCUAACUACGUG
This 468-nucleotide ribosomal RNA is filed under the name uncultured bacterium. RNAcentral describes it as "partial 16S ribosomal RNA". It matches the Rfam family "Bacterial small subunit ribosomal RNA", at positions 28 to 507 of the family's 1533-position model. The record is from RNAcentral.